This 227-nucleotide ribosomal RNA is filed under the name Labidogonalos sp. RNAcentral describes it as "partial 28S ribosomal RNA". It matches the Rfam family "Eukaryotic large subunit ribosomal RNA", at positions 681 to 877 of the family's 3401-position model. Lineage: Eukaryota; Metazoa; Arthropoda; Insecta; Hymenoptera; Trigonalidae. The record is from RNAcentral.
UGUGCGCGAGUCAUUGGGANGCAAAACCUAAAGGCGCAAUGAAAGUGAAGGUCGGCCUCGCGCCGACCGAGGGAGGAUGGACCGCGUUUCGAUGCGGUCCCGCACUCCCGGGGCGUCUCGUUCUCAUUGCGAGAAGAGGCGCACCCAGAGCGUACACGUUGGGACCCGAAAGAUGGUGAACUAUGCCUGGUCAGGACGAAGUCAGGGGAAACCCUGAUGGAGGUCCG